RNAcentral lists this ribosomal RNA (394 nucleotides) under uncultured Anaeromyxobacter sp. Its description in RNAcentral is "bacterial SSU rRNA". It matches the Rfam family "Bacterial small subunit ribosomal RNA", at positions 67 to 447 of the family's 1533-position model. The record is from RNAcentral. Lineage: Bacteria; Pseudomonadati; Myxococcota; Myxococcia; Myxococcales; Anaeromyxobacteraceae.
CGAGAAAGCCCGCAAGGGUGAGUAAAGCGGCGUACGGGUGCGUAACACGUGGGUAAUCUGCCCUGGAGUCCGGAAUAACUUCCCGAAAGGGAUGCUAAUGCCGGAUGAGACCACGGGAGCUCCGGCUCCUGCGGGAAAAGGUGGCCUCUGUAUACAAGCUAUCGCUCUAGGAUGAGCCCGCGGCCCAUCAGCUAGUUGGCGGGGUAACGGCCCACCAAGGCAACGACGGGUAGCUGGUCUGAGAGGACAAUCAGCCACACUGGAACUGAGACACGGUCCAGACUCCUACGGGAGGCAGCAGUGGGGAAUCUUGCGCAAUGGGCGAAAGCCUGACGCAGCAACGCCGCGUGUGUGAUGAAGGUCUUCGGAUCGUAAAGCACUGUCGCGAGGGACG